UACAGAGGUCCCAAGCGUUGUUCGGAUUCACUGGGCGUAAAGGGUGCGUAGGCGGUCGGGUAAGUCCGUUGUGAAAGUCAAAGGCUCAACCUUUGAAAGCCGAUGGAUACUGCCGGGCUGGAGUCCGGAAGAGGCGAGUGGAAUUCCUGGUGUAGCGGUGGAAUGCGCAGAUAUCAGGAGGAACACCAAUAGCGAAGGCAGCUCGCUGGGACGGUACUGACGCUGAGGCGCGAAAGCGUGGGGAGCGAACAGG
Molecule: ribosomal RNA, 253 nt
Filed under: uncultured bacterium
Lineage: Bacteria
Description: partial 16S ribosomal RNA
Rfam family: Bacterial small subunit ribosomal RNA
Source: RNAcentral